UACAGAGGUCUCAAGCGUUGUUCGGAUUUACUGGGCGUAAAGGGCGCGUAGGCGGCGGGUCAAGUCGAGUGUGAAAGCCCCGGGCUCAACCUGGGAAUUGCGCUCGAGACUGGUCUGCUUGAGUUCGGGAGAGGAGAGUGGAAUUCCCAGUGUAGAGGUGAAAUUCGUAGAUAUUGGGAAGAACACCGGUGGCGAAGGCGGCUCUCUGGACCGAGACUGACGCUGAGGCGCGAAAGCGUGGGGAGCAAACAGG
Molecule: ribosomal RNA, 253 nt
Filed under: uncultured bacterium
Lineage: Bacteria
Description: partial 16S ribosomal RNA
Rfam family: Bacterial small subunit ribosomal RNA
Source: RNAcentral